GUUCAAGCAAUUCUCCUGCCUCAGCCUCCCGAGUAGCUGGGAUUACAGAAGCAAGCAACUAUGUUGUGAUCAGCCCCUGGAGAGGGUCAUGUGGCAGGAAAUGGUAGGUGGCUCCAGGACCUGAGGGAAGACAGCAGUCAGCAAGACACAGGGUGCCUUCCAUCAUCGGUUGCAAGGAAAUGAAUUCUGCCAAGUUGGACGAGCUUGACAGCAGAUUAUUCCCCACUCGCACCUCCAGAUGAGAAUGCAGCCUCUCCCUCCAACACCUUGAAUGUAACCCCAAGAGACCCUGAGCAGAAGACACAGCCAAGCAGUGCCCAGACUUCGCCAAUGGAAACUGUGGAAGAAUAAAUGUGUGCUGUUGGGAGCUGA
Long non-coding RNA from Homo sapiens (human), 372 nucleotides. RefSeq lists it as uncharacterized. The transcript is spliced from 2 exons. The record is from RefSeq and is a predicted model, not a curated record. Lineage: Eukaryota; Metazoa; Chordata; Mammalia; Primates; Hominidae.